CAUAAGUAUUGUGUGGAAUUGGAGCAAGUCACCUAAACAAAACAAUGGAUGGAGGUAAAAGAAAAUGUUCAAAGAAUUUUAAUGACUUUGAAGAAAAAUUUGUUUCAAGAGGUUAACGAGGACAAACAGCAUGAUUCAUCAUCAGAAAACAAGAAAAAUAAUGCCUGGACUACCAUUUGUAAUGAAUUCAACUCAAAUGAAAAAGUUUAACAAAAAGGAUGCUACAACAACUUCAGGGCCUGUGGAAAAACAUAAAAAUAAACUUAAAGAAGACAUGCUGUUGCUCAAAGAGAGCGUUUCAAGACUGUAUAGACCAGCGACCGAGAGAAGAAAAAAAAGCUGGGGGACUUGUUGACCAGGAUCAUUGAUAGCCAGCAACCCCUGGAAGGUAUCCCCGAUGAUGACCAUUUGGACAGUUAAGAUGGGGCACCGUUCCAAUCCUCAUUUGAGGCAGAUCACCAUAGCUUGGAGGGGACUUGUCUUAACAGGACGGUCAGCUCGUUACAUCUGCAGCAGCCAAGAGGGAAGAUUGUGUUAUUAAUCCGGGCCGGAGGACAAAGACAAGGAGGCUGAGCAUGCAUGAGAAACUGCCCAUGGAAUUUCAUGAGUGCAAACUAAUGUAUUUGAAAGGGCAUGAUAUGAAGAUGCAAAUCCUGCAUGUUGAGUUGGCUAUGAAGGAGGAGGAAAGAAACAUGAAGCAGCAGCAGU
Molecule: long non-coding RNA, 708 nt
Organism: Salvelinus sp. IW2-2015
Lineage: Eukaryota; Metazoa; Chordata; Actinopteri; Salmoniformes; Salmonidae
Exons: 3
Source: RefSeq, a predicted model, not a curated record